Phrynosoma platyrhinos (Desert horned lizard) is the source of this 73-nucleotide non-coding RNA. NCBI's taxonomy places the organism in Eukaryota, Metazoa, Chordata, Lepidosauria, Squamata, Phrynosomatidae. The record is from the annotation of a GenBank genome assembly.
GCCAGUGUGAUGUAGUGGUCUGAGUGAUAAACUAGGACUCUGAAAGACCAGGGUUCAAAUCCCUGCUCAGACA